RNAcentral lists this long non-coding RNA (252 nucleotides) under Elaeis guineensis (African oil palm). Its description in RNAcentral is "long non-coding RNA (EGUI_LNC027969)". Lineage: Eukaryota; Viridiplantae; Streptophyta; Magnoliopsida; Arecales; Arecaceae. The record is from RNAcentral.
GGGAGGAAGAAGGUGAUCACCGUGGAGGAUGGUGGUUGUGCCUGGAAGGCACCAACUGUGCCAUCGAUUAUUCCAUCGACAGCUACUGCUACUACUGGAUUUGUUGUUGUUAGAGACUUUUGACUGUCUCCAUCAAAACAUUCAUCUGCUACAUAAGUGCAGUGAUCUGGGCGUCCGUGGUGACCACAGGAUGCAAAGAACUAGGCUCUGCUACCGGAGGUGGGGGAGGAGGAUCUUUCCGACGGGAAGAGU